This 476-nucleotide ribosomal RNA is filed under the name uncultured bacterium. RNAcentral describes it as "bacterial SSU rRNA". It matches the Rfam family "Bacterial small subunit ribosomal RNA", at positions 31 to 507 of the family's 1533-position model. The record is from RNAcentral.
GAACGCUGGCGGCGUGCCUAACACAUGCAAGUCGAGCGAAGCGAUCGAGAUGAAGUUUUCGGAUGGAUUCCUGAUUGACUGAGCGGCGGACGGGUGAGUAACGCGUGGGUAACCUGCCUCAUACGGGGGGAUAACAGUUAGAAAUGACUGGUAAUACCGCAUAAGCGCACAAUGUUGCAUGACAUAGUGUGAAAAACUCCGGUGGUAUAAGAUGGACCCGCGUCUGAUUAGCUAGUUGGUGAGAUAACAGCCCACCAAGGCGACGAUCAGUAGCCGACCUGAGAGGGUGACCGGCCACAUUGGGACUGAGACACGGCCCAGACUCCUACGGGAGGCAGCAGUGGGGAAUAUUGCACAAUGGAGGAAACUCUGAUGCAGCGACGCCGCGUGAGUGAAGAAGUAAUUCGUUAUGUAAAGCUCUAUCAGCAGGGAAGAUAGUGACGGUACCUGACUAAGAAGCUCCGGCUAAAUACGUG